GGGGCCAGUCAUGUCUUUAUGAAAUAAUUAUAAUUUUAUAAUAUCAUUAUAAAUUAUAAAGUCUUAUUGGCUUUAUGCUUUAUAUGAUUUACAUCAUACCUUAAAAUAUUAUGGAUACUCUUAAGUCAUUUUGAUAUCACUAUUUUAAAAUGACAUCAUAUAAUAUCAAUUAAUCCCUAUAUUGACUUGUAAACUAGCACACUCACAAACAAAAAAGUAAUAAUAAUUUCUGCA
RNAcentral lists this long non-coding RNA (234 nucleotides) under Elaeis guineensis (African oil palm). RNAcentral's name for it is "long non-coding RNA (EGUI_LNC024492)". The record is from RNAcentral. Lineage: Eukaryota; Viridiplantae; Streptophyta; Magnoliopsida; Arecales; Arecaceae.